This 543-nucleotide ribosomal RNA is filed under the name uncultured Microbacterium sp. RNAcentral describes it as "bacterial SSU rRNA". It matches the Rfam family "Bacterial small subunit ribosomal RNA", at positions 352 to 902 of the family's 1533-position model. The record is from RNAcentral. Lineage: Bacteria; Bacillati; Actinomycetota; Actinomycetes; Micrococcales; Microbacteriaceae.
CAGUGGGGAAUAUUGCAUCAAUGGGCGCAAGCCUGACGCAGCAACGCCGCGUGAGGGACGACGGCCUUCGGGUUGUAAACCUCUUUUAGCAGGGAAGAAGCGAAAGUGACGGUACCUGCAGAAAAACGCACCGGCUAACUACGUGCCAGCAGCCGCGGUAAUACGUAGGGUGCAAGCGUUAUCCGGAAUUAUUGGGCGUAAAGAGCUCGUAGGCGGUCUGUCGCGUCUGCUGUGAAAACCCGAGGCUCAACCUCGGGCCUGCAGUGGGUACGGGCAGACUAGAGUGCGGUAGGGGAGAUUGGAAUUCCUGGUGUAGCGGUGGAAUGCGCAGAUAUCAGGAGGAACACCGAUGGCGAAGGCAGAUCUCUGGGCCGUAACUGACGCUGAGGAGCGAAAGGGUGGGGAGCAAACAGGCUUAGAUACCCUGGUAGUCCACCCCGUAAACGUUGGGAACUAGUUGUGGGGUCCAUUCCACGGAUUCCGUGACGCAGCUAACGCAUUAAGUUCCCCGCCUGGGGAGUACGGCCGCAACGGCUAAAACUC